UUGGUGACCAGCGGAGGGAUCAUUACCGAGUUUACAACUCCCAAACCCAAUGUGAACGUUACCAAACUGUUGCCUCGGCGGGAUCUCUGCCCCGGGUGCGUCGCAGCCCCGGACCAAGGCGCCCGCCGGAGGACCAACCAAAACUCUUAUUGUAUACCCCCUCGCGGGUUUUUUUAUAAUCUGAGCCUUCUCGGCGCCUCUCGUAGGCGUUUCGAAAAUGAAUCAAAACUUUCAACAACGGAUCUCUUGGUUCUGGCAUCGAUGAAGAACGCAGCGAAAUGCGAUAAGUAAUGUGAAUUGCAGAAUUCAGUGAAUCAUCGAAUCUUUGAACGCACAUUGCGCCCGCCAGUAUUCUGGCGGGCAUGCCUGUCCGAGCGUCAUUUCAACCCUCGAACCCCUCCGGGGGGUCGGCGUUGGGGAUCGGCCCUGCCUUGGCGGUGGCCGUCUCCGAAAUACAGUGGCGGUCUCGCCGCAGCCUCUCCUGCGCAGUAGUUUGCACACUCGCAUCGGGAGCGCGGCGCGUCCACAGCCGUUAAACACCCAACUUCUGAAAUGUUGACCUCGGAUCAGGUAGGAAUACCCGCUGAACUUAAGCAUAUCAAUA
RNAcentral lists this ribosomal RNA (604 nucleotides) under Trichoderma harzianum. RNAcentral's name for it is "eukaryotic LSU rRNA". The stretch from base 227 to 380 matches the Rfam family "5.8S ribosomal RNA". Lineage: Eukaryota; Fungi; Ascomycota; Sordariomycetes; Hypocreales; Hypocreaceae. The record is from RNAcentral.